CGUCUUCGCCGAGGUCUCUCGGCUCAGACUCCCGGUGGGGUCUUGCUGGGUUCGGGGCAGGGUCUGCGAGGACUCUGGGCCUGACCGGCCUGGAGCUGCACCUUUCACACCUGCCGGGAAGCUCUGGGCAAGACCCCUGAAUUCUGGUCGGCGGCGUCCACGUGCGUAAGGCGGAGGUAAAGCUCUGUCGUAGGGUUGAUGUGAAGAAAAAGAAAUCACGGUGAAACGUGAGAGCGCGUGGAUGUCACUCACCCGCAUUUCCUGAGACCCUGCUCUGGACGGCAGGGAUGAAACCUGCAAAUGAAUUCCCUGUCAUAAUCAGGCUGACGCUUUACUUAGGAGACGGAUUUAAACGAGAACUAAGAAAACUUCAGCUUUCAACAGGAGCUCUGAAGAAAAAGAUUUGAGGGGGAGUUACAUAAGCUAUACCUCUAAAUGUUUUCAAGAGAGUAAUUAUAGUUUGAGACACGUAAAGUACUACAAGUGUCAAGGGCAAUAACGGUGCUAUUUUGAAACUACUGUGAGGUAGCAGAGGAAAUAAUAAUGCGGGGUUUUUUGUUUUGGCGGAGGGGAAGACGGACAAAAAGUCCAGCAUGGCCAACUAUACAUGAAAAACCGCAUAGGAUGUUCUGGUGUCCGACGUGUUGCUGGCGACAAACUGGAGCAGCAAUCCAAGAGAGAUCUCCACCUGCCCGUGAGACCUUCUGCAGAAUAUACUGCAAGUCACUUAAACUAUCACGUCUUUUUUCGGGAGGGGGCAGGAGGGUCCCUAGUGUAACUUAUCUUUGUUUCUAUAUUUGGGACUGAAUACUGUGAACCCUGAGGACUAAGAAGGGCUCCUGGUGGCUAACUGGGCUUCAAAGAAAAAAAAUCAUUGCCCAACAGCCAUUUCUGCACAAGCACAUGUCACACAAACUGCACUUCAGGGCGAACCCUCUGCCUUGGACAGCCUGCCUUCCUCCUAAACUGCCCGCUGGCACCCUGUUUCCACAGGCUGAGCCAACCCUUAUAAAGGAGUUCCUGGAGUCCUAUUUUGACCAAUAGGACCGAGGGUUUCCCCAUCUGCUCGGGUUGCACAAUUCUGACCAAUCAGAGUGGCUCUAUUCUGACCAAUCAGGACAGUGCCUUUGGACCAAUCAAACUGUGACGAUUCAGAGUCCUCAUUUGCGUGAGUAUGAGCCAAUCAGGGGUCAGGGGUGGGGCUUCUGUCUAUAUAAGCACCCUCCCCUGUUGCCUCAGGGAGCGCACUUUCCAUGGAAGUCUGAAGACUGGGUUUCCCUAGCUGGAGCUGUAGUGCUUCUUUUCUCAAACAAAUAAAGGACGUAGGUGGAGUGUCUCAGAAGGUGUCUGAAUAUGUAGAAGACUGUUGAAGAUACUACCUGGUAAUCUAGAGUGACUAUUCUAAAACAUAGACCAGCAUUCUCUGCUUAAGAAGCUUCAGUGGGCCCUCAUUGCCUGCAUGACAUUCAGACUCUUUAGCAAGGUAAACAAGAUAGUUCAUUAUCUUUCUAGCCUGAUCUCAGCGGAUCCCAGCUCUCCAACCCCCAUGCUCCACAUUAACCACACCAGCUGCAGCUAUAAUGAGACUGUAGGAAGUCUUCUGAGCACGCCAACCCCCCUAUCAAGUUUCCACACCUGUGCUGUGGCUGGGUCUCAGGCUGAAAUACCUUCUGUCCCCCCAGGCCUGAUAGAUGAUUUCCUCCUCCUCAGAAAACACAGUUUACACAUCACCCCCUCAGUUCUUUCUUCAAGCCUUGCCUAAGAUUCACCCAGCCUCCUCCAGCCUCCGUCCCAUGAACCUAUCAAACUGUUGGGAGGGACAGUCUGCCAUGGUCCAGGAGUGUGCCUGCAAAUUCUUGCUGGGUAUGCCAAGAACGCAAGGUACUGACUGCUCUUUAUCCAAGUAAUUUUGGAGGGUUAUUUGGGGUGAUCAAUCAUCAGAGCUGAAGUAGUGUCAUUCCCAAGCAGCAGGCUUGCUUCCACUUACUAUAAAAGUAGUGAAUUCUCCAAACAGUAUUCUUUUCCUGUAAUGCAACCCACUGCAUGUACAGACAUCCAUCACCCCAGUGGGAUUUGGGUGGCUUGGGAACUGAUGCAAUCAUGAACCUCUGGCUACUUUAACGAAACUUCUUAAAAAAUAAAAGAUUCAGGAAUUUCAUGACUACUGCCACAAAA
Molecule: non-coding RNA, 2175 nt
Organism: Miniopterus natalensis
Lineage: Eukaryota; Metazoa; Chordata; Mammalia; Chiroptera; Miniopteridae
Source: RefSeq, a predicted model, not a curated record